This 89-nucleotide unclassified non-coding RNA is filed under the name Pseudomonas sp. NFACC15-1. RNAcentral also lists the same sequence under 1 other name. Lineage: Bacteria; Pseudomonadati; Pseudomonadota; Gammaproteobacteria; Pseudomonadales; Pseudomonadaceae. The record is from RNAcentral.
UGUGGGAGCGAGCUUGCUCGCGAUGGCGGUGUUUCAGUCGACUUGAAUGCGGCUGAUCCACUGCUAUCGCGAGCAAGCUCGCUCCCACA